ACGCGAAGAACCUUACCUGCCCUUGACAUACAGCGAAUCCCGAAGAGAUUUGGGAGUGCCGAAAGGAGCGCUGAUACAGGUGCUGCAUGGCUGUCGUCAGCUCGUGUCGUGAGAUGUUGGGUUAAGUCCCGUAACGAGCGCAACCCUUAUUCUUAGUUACCAGCGGGUCAAGCCGGGGACAUUAAGAAGACUGCCGGUGACAAACCGGAGGAAGGCGGGGACGACGUCAAGUCAUCAUGGCCCUUAUGGGCAGGGCUACACACGUGCUACAAUGGUUGGUACAGAGGGAAGCGAAGCGGCGACGUGAAGCAAAUCUCAUAAAGCCAAUCGUAGUCCGGAUUGAGGUCUGCAACUCGACCUCAUGAAGUCGGAAUCGCUAGUAAUCGGAAAUCAGAAUGUUCCGGUGAAUACGUUCCCGGGCCUUGUACACACCGCCCGUCACACCAUGGGAGUGGGCUGCACCAGAAGCAGAUGGCUNANC
RNAcentral lists this ribosomal RNA (481 nucleotides) under uncultured bacterium. RNAcentral's name for it is "bacterial SSU rRNA". It matches the Rfam family "Bacterial small subunit ribosomal RNA", at positions 959 to 1439 of the family's 1533-position model. The record is from RNAcentral.